RNAcentral lists this ribosomal RNA (317 nucleotides) under uncultured eukaryote. RNAcentral describes it as "partial 18S ribosomal RNA". It matches the Rfam family "Eukaryotic small subunit ribosomal RNA", at positions 1470 to 1796 of the family's 1831-position model. The record is from RNAcentral.
CCCUUCGAUGUUCGGAGCUGCACGCGCGCUACACUGUGGGUGGCAGCAUGUUAGCUUGCCUCGCUCGCAAGAGUGGGGUAAUCGUUUGAAAAUCCCACGUGAUUGGGAUAGGGACUUGUAAUUAUUUCCCUUGAACGAGGAAUCCCUAGUAAGUGCAGGUCAUCAGCUUGCGCUGAUUACGUCCCUGCCCUUUGUACACACCGCCCGUCGCACCUACCGAUUGAAUGGUCCGGUGAAGCCUCCGGAUUGGCGCGCACCCCGGUGCCGCCGAGAAGUUGGCUAAACCUUACCAUUUAGAGGAAGGUGAAGUCGUAACA